GAUUUCUGGCUUGUAACAACUUAUCGGCCACGGUUUCGUGUGUUAGUGUAGGUUGUUCUUGCCAUCCUUCCAAUCGCCAUCGGCUUAUCUUCAUUGAUCGGUCGGUGGUAUUGGAUCUUUUACUUUGAAAAAAUUAGAGUGUUUCAAGCAGGCUUUAUGCUAUGAAUACAUUAGCAUGGAAUAAUAAUUUAGGACUUCGGUUCUAUUUUGUUGGUUUCUAGGACUGAAGUAAUGAUUGAUAGGGAUAGUUGGGGGUGCUAGUAUUCAGCGGCCAGAGGUGAAAUUCUCGGAUUCGCUGAAGACUAACUUAUGCGAAAGCAUU
Molecule: ribosomal RNA, 322 nt
Filed under: uncultured Limnofila
Lineage: Eukaryota; Cercozoa; Cercomonadida
Description: bacterial SSU rRNA
Rfam family: Eukaryotic small subunit ribosomal RNA
Source: RNAcentral